AGAGUUUGAUCCUGGCUCAGAUUGAACGCUGGCGGCAUGCCUUACACAUGCAAGUCGAACGGCAGCACGGGUGCUUGCACCUGGUGGCGAGUGGCGAACGGGUGAGUAAUAUAUCGGAACGUACCUUAUCGUGGGGGAUAACGCAGCGAAAGCUGCGCUAAUACCGCAUACGCCCUGAGGGGGAAAGCGGGGGACCGUAAGGCCUCGCGCGAUUAGAGCGGCCGAUAUCUGAUUAGCUUGUUGGUGGGGUAAAAGCCCACCAAGGCGACGAUCAGUAGCUGGUCUGAGAGGACGAUCAGCCACACUGGGACUGAGACACGGCCCAGACUCCUACGGGAGGCAGCAGUGGGGAAUUUUGGACAAUGGGGGCAACCCUGAUCCAGCAAUGCCGCGUGAGUGAAGAAGGCCUUCGGGUUGUAAAGCUCUUUUGUCAGGGAAGAAACAGCAGCUCUAACACAGUCUGCGAAUGACGGUACCUGAAGAAUAAGCACCGGCUAACUACGUGCCAGCAGCCGCGGUAAUACGUAUGGUGCAAGCGUUAAUCGGAAUUACUGGGCGUANAGCGUGCGCAGGCGGUUAUAC
RNAcentral lists this ribosomal RNA (582 nucleotides) under uncultured freshwater bacterium. Its description in RNAcentral is "bacterial SSU rRNA". It matches the Rfam family "Bacterial small subunit ribosomal RNA", at positions 8 to 584 of the family's 1533-position model. The record is from RNAcentral.